GUCUAUGGCCAUGCUACCCUGAAUGUGUCCGAUCCCGUCUGAUCUCAGAAGCUAAGCAGGGUCGGGCCUGGUUAGUACUUGGAUGAGAGACCACCCAGGAAGACCAGGUACUAUAGGCA
This 119-nucleotide ribosomal RNA is filed under the name Pteropus alecto (black flying fox). Lineage: Eukaryota; Metazoa; Chordata; Mammalia; Chiroptera; Pteropodidae. The record is from RNAcentral.